GUGAAACUCGUCCUUCACCUAUCUUGUUCGGAACACAAAGUUUCUUUUCAGUUACAAACUACAGUACAUAAGUAGAUAUGGGGAAGUACUACCUCCAACUAGGAUUUACAGUGAAAUCUGCAGGAAAUUCAAAUCAGCACUAGGAAACAGAC
Non-coding RNA from Vicugna pacos (alpaca), 152 nucleotides. NCBI's taxonomy places the organism in Eukaryota, Metazoa, Chordata, Mammalia, Artiodactyla, Camelidae. The record is from RefSeq and is a predicted model, not a curated record.